GGAGUUUGAAACCUUGAAGCAAGGCAACAUGACAGUUAAAGAGUAUAAGAUGAAGUUUACCAAGUUAUCCUGUUUUGGUAAACACUUGAUCCUAAAUGACGAGAAGAAGGCUCACAGGAUUGAAAGGGGUUUACGAAGCAGACUAAUUGAUCUGUGUAGCUCCUUUACGACUACCUAAAUAUGAGGAUGUGGUUGAUCGAGCUAGACAGAUGGAGAAG
This 218-nucleotide unclassified non-coding RNA is filed under the name Hevea brasiliensis (rubber tree). The record is from RNAcentral. Lineage: Eukaryota; Viridiplantae; Streptophyta; Magnoliopsida; Malpighiales; Euphorbiaceae.